AGACUUGCAGGAAUCAUAACAACAGAGCUGGUAACUUGCUGAAGUCUUAGGAGGAACGUGGUCAUAGCUGACACUGAACCAGAGAGAACAAAUGUGUGGGCCUUUCUGCCACAGGG
Non-coding RNA from Vicugna pacos (alpaca), 116 nucleotides. NCBI's taxonomy places the organism in Eukaryota, Metazoa, Chordata, Mammalia, Artiodactyla, Camelidae. The record is from Rfam.